CCUACGGGAGGCUGCAGUGGGGAAUAUUGGACAAUGGGGGGAACCCUGAUCCAGCCAUGCCGCGUGUGUGAAGAAGGCCCUCGGGUUGUAAAGCACUUUCAGUGAGGAAGAACGCCUGGUGGUUAAUACCCAUCAGGAAAGACAUCACUCACAGAAGAAGCACCGGCUAACUCCGUGCCAGCAGCCGCGGUAAUACGGAGGGUGCGAGCGUUAAUCGGAAUUACUGGGCGUAAAGCGCGCGUAGGUGGCUUGAUAAGCCGGUUGUGAAAGCCCCGGGCUCAACCUGGGAACGGCAUCCGGAACUGUCAAGCUAGAGUGCAGGAGAGGAAGGAAGAAUUCCCGGUGUAGCGGUGAAAUGCGUAGAGAUCGGGAGGAAUACCAGUGGCGAAGGCGGCCUUCUGGACUGACACUGACACUGAGGUGCGAAAGCGUGGGUAGCAAACAGGAUUAGAUACCCGUGUAGUC
Molecule: ribosomal RNA, 465 nt
Filed under: Vreelandella stevensii
Lineage: Bacteria; Pseudomonadati; Pseudomonadota; Gammaproteobacteria; Oceanospirillales; Halomonadaceae
Description: partial 16S ribosomal RNA
Rfam family: Bacterial small subunit ribosomal RNA
Source: RNAcentral